GAUGAGCCCGCGUAGGAUUAGCUAGUUGGUGGGGUAAAGGCCCACCAAGGCGACGAUCCGUAGCUGGUCUGAGAGGAUGAUCAGCCACACUGGAACUGAGACACGGUCCAGACUCCUACGGGAGGCAGCAGUGGGGAAUAUUGGACAAUGGGCGCAAGCCUGAUCCAGCCAUGCCGCGUGUGUGAAGAAGGCCUUCGGGUUGUAAAGCACUUUUGUCCGGAAAGAAAAGCUUCGGGUUGAUACCCCGGGGUCCUGACGGUACCGGAAGAAUAAGCACCGGCUAACUUCGUGCCAGCAGCCGCGGUAAUACGAAGGGUGCAAGCGUUACUCGAAAUUACUGGGCGUAAAGCGUGCGUAGGUGGUUUGUUAAGUCUGAUGUGAAAGCCCUGGGCUCAACCUGGGAAUUGCAUUGGAUACUGGCAGGCUAGAGUGCGGUAGAGGAUGGCGGAAUUCCCGGUGUAGCAGUGAAAUGCGUAGAGAUCGGGAGGAACAUCUGUGGCGAAGGCGGCCAUCUGGACCAGCACUGACACUGAGGCACGAAAGCGUGGGGGAGCAAACAGGAUUAGAUACCCUGGUAGUCCACGCCCUAAACGAUGCGAACUGGAUGUUGGGAGCAAUUAGGCUCUCAGUAUCGAAGCUAACGCGUUAAGUUCGCCGCCUGGGGAGUACGGUCGCAAGACUGAA
RNAcentral lists this ribosomal RNA (684 nucleotides) under uncultured bacterium. RNAcentral describes it as "bacterial SSU rRNA". It matches the Rfam family "Bacterial small subunit ribosomal RNA", at positions 224 to 898 of the family's 1533-position model. The record is from RNAcentral.